This 1169-nucleotide long non-coding RNA is filed under the name Vulpes vulpes (red fox). RNAcentral's name for it is "lncRNA (ENSVVUG00000000238.1)". Lineage: Eukaryota; Metazoa; Chordata; Mammalia; Carnivora; Canidae. The record is from RNAcentral.
GUUUGCAACUCCUACCUUAGAAGAGAAAUAGAUUGGAAGGAGGAAUAGCUAAACAUUUCAUUUUCAGAAUUAGUCUGAAAUAAAAUUUUUUAAGAAUGCUUCCAAAUCAGACUGAUAAAAUUUCUCUGUCAAGAUCCCCCGAAGGAAGGCCUGGGUCUCAUCCCAGCUGGACGGGAAGAGAGCUAACACGUGGCACAUGCCUACAUGCCAGGCUCAGCCCUUCCAUCUUUCUGUGCAUUAUCUCCAUUUCACCAACAGGGAAAUUGAAGCUGGGAGAUGGUCUGUGAUGUGCCUCAGGGCAAAGGAUAAUAUAACCCUCAGCCUAAGAACACCAGCCCUAGAAGAACCCGGUGCUGGGCCUCUUGGGUUGAUGGCAAGAUGGCAUUGGGAGUCGCUACACCAGCAACCUUUCUCCUCUGAGCUCCUAAUCCUGGCAAUUCUCUCAGGUACCCUGUCCUACCCCAUUCAGAUGCCUACCCUGCCCGAAGGACCUUCCUGCAUUCUAAUACCACAGUGAAGUUAAAACGCACAAAUAUUUACCCACUAUCAAUAAGAAAGUCAAAGCUUUUCUCUCAGAGAACCUCCAGAAGAGGAAAGGCAUAUGCCGGAUGAUGCCACUAAUUUCUGUCUCUAGAUCUUGGCUCAGCAGAAUUCUGCUUCCACACACCUCAUCAUUUAGAGAAUAUCUCCACCUGGCUGAUUCACCAGCACCUCAGUAUCCAUUAUCCAAUUCACCUUCACCCAAAUUUGCCACUUCACCAUUGCCAGGUAGCUGGGAUCUAUUAGUCCCACCAUGGGCUUCUCCUUCUGGUACUGGUUCUGCCACCUAGAUGACCUCAGUUAAGUCGUUUAACCUGAACGGCUUUCUUUCGGUGAAAGAGGAUGAGUGCUUGUAGCGCCCUCUCAUGGCUUAUGUGAGGAAUUGAUAAAAUUAUGUCUGUAAAACAUCUAGCAUUUUGUCUGACAUACAGCAAGAAUGUUACAAUAGAUCUAAGUGUAGAAAUAGAUAUAGCUCCCUUUCCAUAUUAACUCUCCAACACUCUUCAGUGAUGCUGUCUUUUCCAGAAAAGUCUGCCUCCUCAGAGAUGGUGAUGCCUGCAGGAGUCUCCUGGAUCCAUGUGACAGACUGCUCAUUAUAAAUUAAUAAAUUCACAUUCUGGUUUUAGGCA